This 492-nucleotide ribosomal RNA is filed under the name uncultured bacterium. RNAcentral's name for it is "partial 16S ribosomal RNA". It matches the Rfam family "Bacterial small subunit ribosomal RNA", at positions 29 to 507 of the family's 1533-position model. The record is from RNAcentral.
AGUGAACGCUGGCGGUAGGCCUAACACAUGCAAGUCGAACGGCAGCACAGUAAGAGCUUGCUCUUACGGGUGGCGAGUGGCGGACGGGUGAGGAAUACAUCGGAAUCUACUUUUUCGUGGGGGAUAACGUAGGGAAACUUACGCUAAUACCGCAUACGACCUACGGGUGAAAGCAGGGGAUCUUCGGACCUUGCGCGAUUGAAUGAGCCGAUGUCGGAUUAGCUAGUUGGCGGGGUAAAGGCCCACCAAGGCGACGAUCCGUAGCUGGUCUGAGAGGAUGAUCGGCCACACUGGAACUGAGACACGGUCCAGACUCCUACGGGAGGCAGCAGUGGGGAAUAGUGGACAAUGGGCGCAAGCCUGAUCCAGCCAUACCGCGUGGGUGAAGAAGGCCUUCGGGUUGUAAAGCCCCUUUGUUGGGAAAGAAAAGCAGCAGGUUAAUACCCCGCUGUUCUGGCGGUACCCAAAGAAUAAGCACCGGCUAACUUCGUG